RNAcentral lists this ribosomal RNA (426 nucleotides) under Triticum aestivum (bread wheat). RNAcentral's name for it is "partial small subunit ribosomal RNA". The record is from RNAcentral. Lineage: Eukaryota; Viridiplantae; Streptophyta; Magnoliopsida; Poales; Poaceae.
AUGGGCACCAAACGCGGCAGCAGAUGCUGUCUUUUUUUUUUUUGCGGGGUAGAUGCUGCAAUCAGCUCUCUCAUCUCAUGUCCAAAACAUCUGAGACGUGCUUUGUUUCGGCAUGCUGACAGCCUGAAACAUCGCCACGCCGGACGAAGAGACCAGACUAGAGCAGGAGCAGCAGGUCAGGUUCACCUGCUGCAGCCGGCGCCGGGCAUGGGGCCGUGGGUGAUGGCGGGACGACCACGGCCGGACCCGGACGGCUUGUUUGCGGCGGGCCUUGCUAGAGCAUCUCCAAUAAAUGGUCCAAAAUUUGGCGGUCCAAAACCGAAGAUGCAAAAUUUGGACCGCCAAAAAGUGCGUUUUGGAGCUUCGAAAAAAGCUCAACUCCAACAGAUGGUCCAAAUUGAUGGUCCAAAAGAGCAACUCCAAUAG